CCUACGGGUGGCAGCAGUAGGGAAUAUUGCUCAAUGGGGGAAACUCUGAAGCAGCAACGCCGCGUGGAGGAUGAAGGUUUUCUGAUUGUAAACUCCUUUUGUUAGAGAAGAUAAUGAUGGUAUCUAACGGAUAAUCCCUGGCCAACUUCGUUCCAGCAGCCGCGGUAAUACGGCGGGUGCAAGCGUUACUCGGAAUCACUGGGCGUAAAGCGCGCGUAGGCGGGUUAGCAAGUCAGUUGUGAAAUCCUAUGGCUUAACCAUAGAACUGCAUUUGAAACUGUUAUUCUAGAGUAUGGAAGAGGUAGGUGGAAUUCGUGGUGUAGGGGUAAAAUCCGUAGAGAUAAAGAGGAAUACUCAUUGCGAAGGCGACCUGCUAGAACGUAACUGACGCUGAUGCGCGAAAGCGUGGGUAGCAAACAGGAUUAGAUACCCGAGUAGUC
Molecule: ribosomal RNA, 440 nt
Filed under: uncultured bacterium
Lineage: Bacteria
Description: partial 16S ribosomal RNA
Rfam family: Bacterial small subunit ribosomal RNA
Source: RNAcentral